UCGGGAAUUUUGGGCAAUGGGCGAAAGCCUGACCCAGCAACGCCGCGUGAGGGAUGAGGUAUUUCGGUAUGUAAACCUCGAAAGAAUGGGAAGAAUAAAUGACGGUACCAUUUAUAAGCUCCGGCUAACUACGUGCCAGCAGCCGCGGUAAUACGUAGGGAGCAAGCGUUGUUCGGAUUUACUGGGCGUAAAGGGCGCGUAGGCGGCGCGGUAAGUCACUUGUGAAAUCUCUGAGCUUAACUCAGAACGGCCAAGUGAUACUGCUGUGCUAGAGUGCGGAAGAGGCAACCGGAAUUCUUGGUGUAGCGGUGAAAUGCGUAGAUAUCAAGAGGAACACCUGAGGCGAAGGCGGGUUGCUGGGCCGACACUGACGCUGAUGCGCGAAAGCCAGGGGAUCAAAC
Molecule: ribosomal RNA, 401 nt
Filed under: uncultured bacterium
Lineage: Bacteria
Description: bacterial SSU rRNA
Rfam family: Bacterial small subunit ribosomal RNA
Source: RNAcentral